Molecule: ribosomal RNA, 219 nt
Filed under: Clostridium intestinale URNW
Lineage: Bacteria; Bacillati; Bacillota; Clostridia; Eubacteriales; Clostridiaceae
Description: partial 23S ribosomal RNA
Rfam family: Bacterial large subunit ribosomal RNA
Source: RNAcentral
CUCUGGUGUACCAGUUGUUCCGCCAGGAGCAUAGCUGGGUAGCUAAGUCGGGAAGGGAUAAACGCUGAAGGCAUCUAAGCGUGAAGCCCACCUCAAGAUAAGAUUUCCCAUAGAGUAAUCUAGUAAGAUCCCUUGAAGAACACAAGGUUGAUAGGUGAGAGGUGUAAGUGUGGUAACAUAUUUAGCUGACUCAUACUAAUAGAUCGAGGGCUUGACCAA